AUUGAAUGCUGGCGGCAGGCCUAACACAUGCAAGUCGAGCGUGAAAGUCCUUCGGGAUGAGUAAAGCGGCGGACGGGUGAGUAACGCGUAGGAAUCUACCUAAUAGUGGGGGAUAACGUUUCGAAAGGAACGCUAAUACCGCAUACGUUCUGAGGAAGAAAGCAGGGGAUCGUAAGACCUUGCGCUAUUAGAUGAGCCUGCGUCCGAUUAGCUAGUUGGUGGGGUAAAGGCCUACCAAGGCGACGAUCGGUAACUGGUCUGAGAGGAUGAUCAGUCACACUGGAACUGAGACACGGUCCAGACUCCUACGGAGGCAGCAGUGGGAAUAUUGGACAAUGGGGGCAACCCUGAUCCAGCCAUGCCGCGUGUGUGAAGAAGGCCUCGG
Molecule: ribosomal RNA, 385 nt
Filed under: uncultured bacterium
Lineage: Bacteria
Description: bacterial SSU rRNA
Rfam family: Bacterial small subunit ribosomal RNA
Source: RNAcentral